RNAcentral lists this transfer RNA (87 nucleotides) under Podarcis lilfordi (Lilford's wall lizard). RNAcentral describes it as "tRNA.Asn". The stretch from base 10 to 70 matches the Rfam family "tRNA", at positions 7 to 64 of the family's 71-position model. From Rfam's summary of the family: Transfer RNA (tRNA) molecules are approximately 80 nucleotides in length. Their secondary structure includes four short double-helical elements and three loops (D, anti-codon, and T loops). Lineage: Eukaryota; Metazoa; Chordata; Lepidosauria; Squamata; Lacertidae. The record is from RNAcentral.
GCCCCUCAGGUGGCACAAUGGGUCAGUGCAUCUGGCUGUUAACCAAAAGGUUGGUGGUUCGAGCCCACCCAAAGAGGGCUGUGGGCA